UGGGGAAUAUUGCACAAUGGGCGCAAGCUUGAUGCAGCCAUGCCGCGUGUGUGAAGAAGGCCUUCGGGUUGUAAAGCACUUUCAGCGGGGAGGAAGGCGUUAAGGUUAAUAACCUUGGCGAUUGACGUUACCCGCANAAGAAGCACCGGCUAACUCCGUGCCAGCAGCCGCGGUAAUACGGAGGGUGCAAGCGUUAAUCGGAAUUACUGGGCGUAAAGCGCACGCAGGCGGUCUGUCAAGUCGGAUGUGAAAUCCCCGGGCUCAACCUGGGAACUGCAUUCGAAACUGGCAGGCUAGAGUCUUGUAGAGGGGGGUAGAAUUCCAGGUGUAGCGGUGAAAUGCGUAGAGAUCUGGAGGAAUACCGGUGGCGAAGGCGGCCCCCUGGACAAAGACUGACGCUCAGGUGCGAAAGCGUGGGGAGCAAACAGGAUUANAUACCCUGGUAGUCCACGCCGUAAACGAUGUCGAUUUGGAGGUUGUGCCCUUGAGGCGUGGCUUCCGGAGCUAACGCGUUAAAUCGACCGCCUGGGGAGUACGGCCGCAAGGUUA
Molecule: ribosomal RNA, 549 nt
Filed under: uncultured bacterium
Lineage: Bacteria
Description: bacterial SSU rRNA
Rfam family: Bacterial small subunit ribosomal RNA
Source: RNAcentral